This 331-nucleotide long non-coding RNA is filed under the name Gossypium raimondii (Peruvian cotton). RNAcentral's name for it is "long non-coding RNA (GRAI_LNC010443)". The record is from RNAcentral. Lineage: Eukaryota; Viridiplantae; Streptophyta; Magnoliopsida; Malvales; Malvaceae.
AACAAAUAUAGUUAAUAAAAUAAUAUUGUCCAUAAUUUUUAAUUGUAAUUUUUGGGCAAGUCAAAAAAUUGAAAAUUUACUAUUUCAUCUAUAAUCUAUAAUCUAUUUAUCAUAUAUGUACAAGCGCGAAUUUAGAAGAAAAAAAAUUGAACUAACGAGAGUAUCCUUUAUUUUCUAUUAUAUUACUUGUACAAGCCCAAUUUAUGCCCGGGCCCAAUAAGCCCAAUAACAAAACACCAACCCAAAACCAAAAACUAGCAAAAAAGAUAAAAAAAAUAAAACCCUAGGCACUGCACCUAGGUCCGCGCCACUUGCUCUGCCACCGCCGCAC